RNAcentral lists this ribosomal RNA (253 nucleotides) under uncultured bacterium. RNAcentral's name for it is "partial 16S ribosomal RNA". It matches the Rfam family "Bacterial small subunit ribosomal RNA", at positions 524 to 776 of the family's 1533-position model. The record is from RNAcentral.
UACGGAGGGGGUUAGCGUUGUUCGGAAUUACUGGGCGUAAAGCGCGCGUAGGCGGACCAGAAAGUUGGGGGCGAAAUCCCGGGGCUCAACCCCGGAACGGCCUCCAAAACUCCUGGUCUUGAGUUCGAGAGAGGUGAGUGGAAUUCCGAGUGUAGAGGUGAAAUUCGUAGAUAUUCGGAGGAACACCAGUGGCGAAGGCGGCUCACUGGCUCGAUACUGACGCUGAGGUACGAAAGUGUGGGGAGCAAACAGG